RNAcentral lists this ribosomal RNA (206 nucleotides) under uncultured bacterium. Its description in RNAcentral is "partial 16S ribosomal RNA". It matches the Rfam family "Bacterial small subunit ribosomal RNA", at positions 568 to 774 of the family's 1533-position model. The record is from RNAcentral.
UACGUAGGCGGUUUUUUAAGUCAGGUGUGAAAGCGUGAGGCUUAACCUCAUUAAGCACUUGAAACUGGAAGACUUGAGUGAAGGAGAGGAAAGUGGAAUUCCUAGUGUAGCGGUGAAAUGCGUAGAUAUUAGGAGGAAUACCGGUGGCGAAGGCGACUUUCUGGACUUUUACUGACGCUCAGGUACGAAAGCGUGGGGAGCAAACA